Long non-coding RNA from Octopus sinensis (East Asian common octopus), 348 nucleotides. RefSeq lists it as uncharacterized. The record is from RefSeq and is a predicted model, not a curated record. The transcript is spliced from 3 exons. NCBI's taxonomy places the organism in Eukaryota, Metazoa, Mollusca, Cephalopoda, Octopoda, Octopodidae.
AUGACUGAAACAACUGAGGGAAGCUAAUGAGAACUGUGCUGGAAUGUCUAGUGGAAGCUGGCAGCAGAAGCAAUUGGAGGUACAUUUUUGCUUCAUUUUCAGGUUAUCUACACAUUAAAGAAAGUGAAUGUGGAAUUGACAAGAAACUGGAGAUGACUGAUGAAACAUCCAAAGGAAGCUGAUGACAACAGUAGAGGAUCUAAUUUUGACACAUCUCAACAGGAUGGAAUAUGUGCAACUAAAGAUUAAUACCAGUUUUAUAAUGGUCCUAUAUUGAUGGAAAAUCUGAUAGAGGCUGGUGACAACUGUGCCAUCUAAGGCUGUGGCUGUGUGAUGACCUGUGAAACA